GACGAACGCUGGCGGCGUGCUUAACACAUGCAAGUCGAACGGAAAGGCCCUGCUUUUGUGGGGUGCUCGAGUGGCGAACGGGUGAGUAACACGUGAGUAACCUGCCCUUGACUUUGGGAUAACUUCAGGAAACUGGGGCUAAUACCGGAUAGGAGCUCCUGCUGCAUGGUGGGGGUUGGAAAGUUUCGGCGGUUGGGGAUGGACUCGCGGCUUAUCAGCUUGUUGGUGGGGUAGUGGCUUACCAAGGCUUUGACGGGUAGCCGGCCUGAGAGGGUGACCGGCCAAAUUGGGACUGAGAUCGGGCCAGGACUCCAACGGGAGGCAGCGGGGGGAAAUAUUGCACAAUGGGCGGAAGCCUGAUGCAGCAACGCCGGGGGCGGGAGGACGGCCUUCGGGUUGUAAACCGCUUUCGCCUGUGACGAAGCGUGAGUGACGGUAAUGGGUAAAGAAGCACCGGCUAACUACGUG
Molecule: ribosomal RNA, 468 nt
Filed under: uncultured bacterium
Lineage: Bacteria
Description: partial 16S ribosomal RNA
Rfam family: Bacterial small subunit ribosomal RNA
Source: RNAcentral